UAUAUCGUAGUAAAGAACUGGUCAGCACUCCUAUGUCUCGGACAAUUACGGCGACGAAGGAAGAAUUCUCCUCUUCUUGUCAUCCACAAUACCCCAAGGAUAGAAAUGGAGCGAUCUCAGAUCUGGUUUGCUCUCAGAUGCCUAAUCCUAGCUCUGCUCCUGUCUUGGGCUGUGGCCGAUGACAACGUCUUUGUCCUCAGCCAACUUCGAGAAGGAGGUUGGCCAACGUCUUCGUCCUCAGGUUUCCUCUCGAAUGCCUAAUCCUAGCUCUGCUCCUCUCCUAGGCUGUGGCCGAUGACAAUGUCUUCGUCCUCACGGAGGCCAACUUCGAGAAGGAGGUCGGCCAACGUCUUCGUCCUCAGGUGCGGCCAUUGUAAGAAGCUUGCCCCGAGUAUGAAAAGUUUGGCUCAAGGUUUAAGAAGGCAAUGUCUGUUUUGAUUGGGAAGGUUAGUCUUAUUCUAAUUGUAAUGGUAAAUGGAUUUAGGAUGUUUGCUAAAUGCUCUAGUUUUUAAUUAGUUCAAUUCGGAACUUGGAAUUUGAAAUUUCUUGGGUUUGGUAUUGUCGGAGAUAUUACAUUUUUUUUAUUAACUAUUUGUGCAAUUUUUCAUGGUUUUACCCCUCUUAGAGGGCCAAAGUAAUAAAUUACAUUGCUUCCAAUUCUUAUUUAUUUCUUAUUUUUCUUUUAUUUUUAAAGUUAAAGCAUUAUUAAUUGGAAUUCUGAGAAAAAAUUUCUGAUGAUUAACAUCAAAGUGAUGUUGCAAGGACAAUUUCUGAUGAUUAGAAUGCCUCCCAUUAUUCAAAAUGAAAUUUCUGAAUGAUGAUCUUACUAUAUAUUUUCUAUGACAAAUGCCCUGAAGUUCUCUGUGAUUCUUGUUCAUUGUCAAAAUAAGAUAAUUGUUUUGCUAUAUGACUUGAAAUUUGAUAAAAUUAUUAGUGCCAUGAAAUGGAGAUAAUUUAGGUAUCUCAGAUAGUUAUCAUAGUCAGAACAACAAAUUGUACGUUUAUCUUGUUCAGGCUAGUAUAUUAACUGUCUCCGUGUUUCAAGUAUGGAGUAGGUGGUUAUCGUACAUUGAAGUUUUUCCCCAAUAGCAGCAAAGCUGGUGAAGACUAUAAGGGUGGAUGCGAUUUAGAUGACUUUGUUGAAUUUAUUAAUGACAAGUGUGGAACCGAUCGUGAUGCAAAAGGUCAACUUCCAUCACUGGUUAUGGGGUGAUAGAUUAUGAAGGAUGAUGUUUACGAGUUUUGUUAAUCAAUUUUUUUAAAACAAGUGGAGCUUUAGUGAAAGAAUUUAUGAGUGCCUCUAACGAUGAACGGAAGGCAAUUUUAUGCCGGAUGGAAGAGGAAGUCAAAAAGCUAACAGGUUAUUCUGCAAGGCACUUCUUUUUUUUCUUGAGCUAUUGAAACGGUAAAUGUUUUAUCAGCUCGGUUACUUUGUGGUCUGUUACUUCUUUUAUUGUCGUUUCUUUUGUGUCUCACAUACGCACUUAUAAUAGUUCUGAUUGAUGACAAAAUUCAUGUAUUAUCUAGUCUUUUAUUGUUAAUUAUAAUGGCAAAAUAUAUUGGGCUGACAGUCCACAAGUUCAGCUCGUAAUGGGUUUUAACAACCAACAACCGAUCUAUUUGAAUAUAUUCUUAAUCAUCCAUGUAGUAUUCUCAUCUCAGCUUAAAAUAGAUAUAUUUGAAUAUUGUGCAUAGUGACGUAAUCCUUUUAUUCUAGUUAUUUUUUUGAGAUUGCUGCUUAGGUUUUGAACAAAAAAUUGAGAUUUAUAUAUUCAUUAUUCUUAUAGUGGAUUAUCUCUAGUUUACCUAUGGUUUUUACCCUUCACAUUAGAGAGAUUUUUUACGUAAAUCUUAGUGUUAUAUUUGAUUGUAAUCUCAUUUAAUUUCGUUACGUAUUAUGAUAUGUUAGUAUUUGUUCAUAUAUAAAAGUUUAUUCUUUUUUAUAUCCCAUCAAAAUAUACCAUCAUAGACUCUGAUUAAUAAAAGAGUUCUUAGCACUUUUUCUUCACUGUCGUUAGUUGCAUCUCCUACCCUUUUACACUUAUUUUUCAUUAUUAUGGUACCAAUACUUGUAGUCGAGAUUUAGAUUUUGUAUGGUAGCCACCAACUUGUUAAAGCUUUAUUGGAGUUUUCUGAUUGUCAUAUACCAUUCAUUAUGUGUUAAAAACUUUUUUCUUUUGCUCUUUUUAACAUUCUGUAAUUAUA
Musa acuminata AAA Group (dessert banana) is the source of this 2205-nucleotide RNA transcript. RefSeq lists it as uncharacterized. The transcript is spliced from 3 exons. Lineage: Eukaryota; Viridiplantae; Streptophyta; Magnoliopsida; Zingiberales; Musaceae. The record is from RefSeq and is a predicted model, not a curated record.